Small nucleolar RNA from Phyllostomus hastatus (greater spear-nosed bat), 135 nucleotides. RefSeq annotates it as small nucleolar RNA SNORA1. Lineage: Eukaryota; Metazoa; Chordata; Mammalia; Chiroptera; Phyllostomidae. The transcript has a single exon. The record is from RefSeq and is a predicted model, not a curated record.
AGAAAUAUUGAUGAAAAUGGGCACUGUUUUUGUACGUGGUGUCCCAAAAUUGUUCAUGUGGCUGCACUGAGACACAGGUUAUGCUUCUGUCGCGGUCAUUUUAUUACAGUGGUGACAGUGAGACUUGUAACAUUU